ACGAACGCUGGCGGCGUGCCUAAUACAUGCAAGUAGAACGCUGAAGAGAGGAGCUUGCUCUUCUUGGAUGAGUUGCGAACGGGUGAGUAACGCGUAGGUAACCUGCCUUGUAGCGGGGGAUAACUAUUGGAAACGAUAGCUAAUACCGCAUAACAAUGGAUGACACAUGUCAUUUAUUUGAAAGGGGCAAUUGCUCCACUACAAGAUGGACCUGCGUUGUAUUAGCUAGUAGGUGAGGUAAUGGCUCACCUAGGCGACGAUACGUAGCCGACCUGAGAGGGUGAUCGGCCACACUGGGACUGAGACACGGCCCAGACUCCUACGGGAGGCAGCAGUAGGGAAUCUUCGGCAAUGGGGGCAACCCUGACCGAGCAACGCCGCGUGAGUGAAGAAGGUUUUCGGAUCGUAAAGUUCUGUUGUAAGUCAAGAACGGGUGUGAGAGUGGAAAGUUCACACUGUGACGGUAGCUUACCAGAAAGGGACGGCUAACUACGUG
Molecule: ribosomal RNA, 496 nt
Filed under: uncultured bacterium
Lineage: Bacteria
Description: partial 16S ribosomal RNA
Rfam family: Bacterial small subunit ribosomal RNA
Source: RNAcentral